This 442-nucleotide ribosomal RNA is filed under the name uncultured bacterium. Its description in RNAcentral is "bacterial SSU rRNA". It matches the Rfam family "Bacterial small subunit ribosomal RNA", at positions 954 to 1392 of the family's 1533-position model. The record is from RNAcentral.
GCUAAACGCGAAGAACCUUACCAGCUUUUGACAUGUCCGGUUUUGAGAAACAGAGAUGUAUCUCUUCAGUUCGGCUGGCCGGAACACAGGUGCUGCAUGGCUGUCGUCAGCUCGUGUCGUGAGAUGUUGGGUUAAGUCCCGCAACGAGCGCAACCCUCGCCCUUAGUUGCCAUCAUUUAGUUGGGCACUCUAAGGGGACUGCCGGUGAUAAGCCGCGAGGAAGGUGGGGAUGACGUCAAGUCCUCAUGGCCCUUACAGGCUGGGCUACACACGUGCUACAAUGGCGGUGACAAUGGGAGGCAAUGGGGCAACCCUGCGCAAAUCUCAAAAAGCCGUCUCAGUUCGGAUUGCACUCUGCAACUCGAGUGCAUGAAGUUGGAAUCGCUAGUAAUCGUGGAUCAGCAUGCCACGGUGAAUACGUUCCCGGGUCUUGUACACACCG